GACGAACGCUGGCGGCGUGCUUAACACAUGCAAGUCGAACGGGCCUUGUCCCCUUUUUUUUGGGGGUGGGGUUAGUGGCGAACGGGUGAGUAACACGUGAGUAACCUGCCCCUCACUUCUGGAUAACCGCUUGAAAGGGUGGCUAAUACGGGGUGUUCUGGCCUGCUCGCAUGGGUGGGUUUGGAAAGAUUCGACCGGUUUUGGUUGUUUUGGUGGGGGAUGGGCUCGUGGCCUAUCAGCUUGUUGGUGGGGUGAUGGCCUGCCAAGGCUUUGACGGGUAGCCGGCCUGAGAGGGUGGGCGGUCACACUGGGACUGAGACACGGCCCAGACUCCUACGGGAGGCAGCAGUGGGGAAUAUUGCACAAUGGGCGCAAGCCUGAUGCAGCGACGCCGCGUGAGGGAUGGAGGCCUUCGGGUUGUGAACCUCUUUCGCCAGUGAAGAAGGUCCUGCUCUUUGUGGUGGGGUUGACGGUAGCUGGGUUAAUGAAGCGCCGGCUAACUACGUG
RNAcentral lists this ribosomal RNA (507 nucleotides) under uncultured bacterium. Its description in RNAcentral is "partial 16S ribosomal RNA". It matches the Rfam family "Bacterial small subunit ribosomal RNA", at positions 28 to 507 of the family's 1533-position model. The record is from RNAcentral.